Long non-coding RNA from Haemorhous mexicanus (house finch), 12206 nucleotides. RefSeq lists it as uncharacterized. The record is from RefSeq and is a predicted model, not a curated record. Lineage: Eukaryota; Metazoa; Chordata; Aves; Passeriformes; Fringillidae. The transcript has 2 exons.
GACCUCCGGCAGCACCCCUGCUCCCGGCCCCGGCAGCGGCGAUGGGACCCGGCGGCGGGCUCUCCUCGGUCCCCGCCCUGCCCCGGGGUGCCCCGGAGAUGCAGGUAGCCGGGUGCCCACUGUCGCACACGGCCAGCUCCCCGCUGGACUGGCCUGGCCUCUGUUGCCCCGAGGAGACCCCGCCGGGGAAUCUCAGGGCUGUUGUACACUAUGGUUUUAUGAGCCUUAUGGCUGGGGAGAAGUGUGAGGUGCCAGGCGGGGAAUGUACGACCUGCCGUGUGUGAGCUCGGGCAGCCCCGGAGGCUCGGAGGCUCGGCCGGUUGCCGUCGGGAGAGCUCUGGGCUCAGCGCCUCCUCUCUCCUUUGCCUGUAACUUUUCCUCAGAGUGGCAUUUGGGAGAUAAAGCAUCUACCGCUUGGCGCUUUGGCUGGACUGAUUUACUUUGGAGAGAAGGGUGAGGGGGAAGAGUGACUAGGGAGGAAAAUGUGUUGCCAGUCUCAGGGAACCAAAGGGGCAUUGUUCACCUCUAGGGAAACUGCCCAGUUUCUCCCAGGAGUCAGGCGAGUUCUCAGUCCAACAGCUCUCCCGGAGAACACACACAGACUCUUUGCUGUAGAGCCCGAGCUCUCCAUGGGAGUUUCCAUGGGAUCCUGCAGCCCCUCUGCCCGGCAGGACCCAGCCCUGAGGCAGAAGUGGGAAGAGCCCCACCCCAGAGGUGGUUGGGAGCGAGGGUAUCCGGCGCUGGGCAGCAGAGCACUCCCUGGACGCGAGGCUCCGCCAGCCUGUGAGCGGCUGCAGCCGUGGGACAGUGUGCCUGCUCCGGCCAGAGAUCUGAGCAAUGGCUUCUUACUCCCCUUUCACAGUACUGGCACCUCCCGUGUUCCCCGUGUAGCACUUUGAGCGUCCCUGAGGGCUACCCUUGCCGGGGGAGCAGGGAACAGGGAGAAGGCGAAUCCUCUGAUGAAUCCACUUCUGCUUUGCUACACAAAAGAUUUAAAGCCUUUUAUGUUGCCUCCUUUGUGAGGAAGACGAUAGAGAUACAGAAUUUGCAUGAAUAUUAAAUGCACUGCACCAAGCAGAGGCACACAGGGUCUGGGAAAGAGAUUAUGGAGGCAGCCCCAUCCCUCAGAGAUCUUGCCAGCUCCUAGUUUCCGAGGUUGCACUGCGCCUCGAGGACUGAUUCCACUGGGCUCUACCAGCAGAGAGGCAGCAGAGUCCGCAGUGUUCAGGGAGAUGUUCCAAUGGCACAUCGCCUCAAUUCUGGGCACUUGCCUCACCUGCUCAUAUCUGAGAGACCUGUUGUUAGGAGUUUUGUGCUUUCCCUAAUUCUGUACACAUCCAGUGUGGAUGAAGCUAUGCUGAUAGGAAGUGCUUUAUGCGAGGACCAUUUAUUCCUUUACAAAAAUGAAAAUAGUAUGUAUUGGCACCAGCCCUUUCACCAGGUGCAACAUGGGCUGUGAUCAGAAGUCAGGGAACCCCUAACCAAUGUAGGUGGUAUCUUUUUAUAGCUAAACACAACUGCCUUCUCAAGCAGACCCUGUGAAAAAGAAGCUUUUGUGUAAGAGUGCCAUCUGGUGCCACCUGACAGGACAGUGUGUUUAAAGUGUGUGGUGGCUGUGGGCAGGCUGGCUCUGUCCUGCCUCAUUUAAAUGGCUUUUCUGUUUGGAGAGCUGCUUCUGGAAGCAGCUUGCCGUUGUCUUCUCAUUUAACUAUGUUGCAGUCAUGCAGUGACUCAGGCACCGUUGUGCUCAGCUGACAGCAGAAAGGCGCUUUUUUAAAGGGUUUUUUUCCCCCUAUGGAUUUUUUUCCAACUGCCAGCGACACAAACUUCAGCUGGAGUGAGAGAGUCAAGCUCGUCCUGCAGAUGAUACAUAUAAGAGAUUCUGCAGCCACUUCUCGCCUACCAAAUCUGUUGGUGAUACAAGAGCCAGAACAUAAUACAUCAGCCUCUUUGUUCUCACUCUGCAUGACAAUGGGUAGGAUGGAAAAAAUACACUUGGAUUUUCUUACUAAAUCCAGCAAAUCUCCUGGGAUCUUGCAAUGUGUGGAGAAGUUCUUUUGACAUAGAGCUGUGCAAAACAUCACCGUGCACAAUAGGCACAAAGUUGCCAGUGCCUUUGCUUCAAAGAUGGGCAAACUUUUCCAGAUAUUGUUCAGCAGGCAUUUUUCUUAAAACAGGCCAGAAAUUUCAGCCAUAAAAUGUCAGUAUGAAAUUUUCAUGAGUAUGAUUUCCUCUUUUCAGAAAGGAAGCAGAAAGAAAAGAUGGAUGAACCUUACUGCAGUGUCUGUGCUCAUUUGGGGCAAGAAUUGCAUGUGUCUAAACUACUCUAUUUUCCACAGCCUUGGCAGUCCUAAUGAGUCAUCUUGGUCUUUAAAAAAUGGUUCUCUGUAUUGUUCAUCUGAAGCUGUGACAAAUAAUUAAUUAAGGCAUGUCUGUAGAUGCAUCUUCAGAAAGAUCUGUGUGCUUGCAACAGAAAAAAAAACUGAAUGUGUAGGAGCUGCCUUUCAGAGAUAUCUGCCCAGGUUGUAGGAAUAGGUUGACAGAAACCUCAUGAAAUUCAGCAAGAACAAACUCUAAACUCCUGCCCCUGGAGCGGAUGGAUGGAUGGAUGGAUGGAUGGAUGGACGGACGGAUGGACUGACAGACUGACCCACCAGGGCUCCUGGAGCACUGGUGUGGCCCCAGUAGCAAAGGCAGCUAGGAGCAGGAGUGACCUGGUAGAUAGACACAGGGAAGUGAUUAUCCCCUUCUUCUUGAAAAUCAUAAAACUGUGUCUCAAAUACAGUGUCUGGUUUUGGGCUGCCUGAUAGCAGAAAGACAUGGAUAAAUCUGAGUGCAUCGGGGGUUGUCACCAAGGUAACUGGGAGAUGGAGAAUUUCUCCUGUGAGGAGUAGCUCAGGAAGUUGGACUUUCUUAGCUGGAGAAGAGAGAGCUCCAGGAGGACCUAGCAGAAGCCUACCUGCACAGCUGAGAAAGUUACUGAGAAGAUGGAGCCAGGCUCUUUCAUAAGUGCAUGGCAGGAGGAUGAGUGGUCAUAAACUGGAACAGGAAAGGUUUACGCUCUGUUUAAGGAACCGAUUUAUCACUGUGAGGAUUUUGGGGUUUUUUUUGAAAAUUGUAUGGAGAGUGGUGUCUGCUUAAUUGGAUGGGAAAUCUCCAAAGGACACAAAAUGCCUCUCUUCACUUAGCUUUUGCUAACCAGACUUACACAGGAUGGCUGCUAACAGCACUGACAGUCUCCUUUUGCUCUAGAGGCCACAUACUGCUCUUGAACUUAGGCAACUUUGCUCUUCUUUUUCUCCCAGAAGGACCUAUCAUAUAUAAAGCUAAUCCUUCAUGCAGUGCCUGUUUAUCAGUUACACCCAUUUGUGCCCUGCCCAGUCCAGCAUAUCUGAUCAUUUCUGCAAGCAACCAUCUAUUUGCUUAAGGUCUAUUACAACUGCACUCAGAGAACUCUUACUUUCUCAUUCAGCUCUUAUCAGUGCUGUGAAACUCUUCAAUAGACUUAUCACUUGAGUCAUAUUCACCACUGUGCUUCACUGGCUUUGUGACACUCGUGUCAGAAGGAAACCAGAAUAAACCAACUAAACAGGAGUCAUGUGCUUCUUUUUAGCCCAGUACCGUAGUGGUUUUGUUUCUUACCUCUGCUACUGUGUUUUAUAGUGCAAAAAAAACACCUUCAAAGAUGACUUUGGAUAUUUAUGUAAACACAGCUUUGACUCCAUGCUUUUCAAAGCAUAUGCUUUACCCCCUUCAAGAGACAUCAAGGCAAGAAAAUAGCCUGCAUGCUCACUCAGGUGUCCACAGUUAGAAGCUGCAGAAUGGCUGUUCAGGCUGUCUCAGGAGGGCUAACCCAGCUCCUCUGGGGAAAGCACACUAAUGCACUCUUUCACUGUGUGAUCCUUUAUGCCCAGGCAAUGUGACAAAUGGCAUUUUCUGGAGCCUACAAAGGGACAGCAGAAUGGGAGAAGAACUGCCUGUCUCUGUGGGGUUGCUCCUUGAGUGCAAACUGGGUGUUGGGCUUACUGUGUGCUCUUUCCUUUAAUAUUGUCCUGGCCCACAGGAAGAGGAGAGUGGCAGGACUGUACAUAGUAAGUAGGCUGAGAGUGAUGCUGGUGCAACUCAUAGAGGAAGCUUCCCCUGAAGAUGAAGAGAGGCUAUUCACCAUGGAUGACUGUCACUCUCACAGGAAGCCUAUACACACUUUUAUUCCUCUUAUGCCUAUUACAGGGACAUAAAUAGCACUUAAGUGGUGCUUAGGUGUUGGACUGACCUUUGGUCUGAGCGAGUUUCACGCUCUGUAAACUCCCUCUCACUGUCUCAAUGCACAGGGAGGAUGGAGAGCACAGGCAGAUUUGGUCACCCACUUCAUAUCCCUUACCGUUGCUAGACAGGGCAGCUCUGCUGUAACAGGAGGCUGGGUCUCCAGGACUGAUAGAGACUAAUCUCUUGUGGGGACACAUGCAGCAAGCAUUUUGGCCCUCUAGUCCUGUGCCUGGUAAAAUUUGGUCAGUAACACAUUUAUGAUUAGUCUGCCAAGUACUGGAUAUGGAAAGGCUAUUUGCUUGAAAUUUUUCUUGGAGCUCACCAACCAGAUUCCUGUAGGAUCUCCAGGACAGAUACAGAGACCUGAUGGGGCCAUCAGAUCUGGCCUGAUGGAAAUGAAUCCAAAGAUAAUAGUUCCUAUAUCCUUCUAUUUAAUUAGUCUCUUUGGAUCCAUCUCAUGGUUUCUACACUUCGUGGCCCUGCUGCUCCUUACUAUCUCAUGAUGGGACUUACACUUGCAGAAGGGCUAGAAGCAGGAUGAAGCCAGAGCUGAACAUGGGUCCAUAGAUCUCUGAGUCUGGGUCUCUGAGCAUCAUCACUAUAGAGUCGCCACCAGGAAAAAUGUUUCCCUUUUGAUAAAGAAGAGGGGAAGAGACUUGAACUUCUUGAAUUUGGAAGACUCUAGGUAAAUACUCUAGGUAAACUCUAGGUAAAUACUUAAUCCAAAGACUGUGGAUCAUUUGUAUGUCCUAUCUGCCAGGAAACUGAUAAACAUUUGGGAAACUCUUCCUAAAAAAACACAUUCAUUUGUUGGACAACUGCCUGCAUGUGCUGGGAACCCAUUGUCCUAAAUUAUCAUCUCAGCCAAAGUGGGAGAACCCAUUAACUGUGCUCUUGGGCCAGAACUAGGAGAGAGGCUGCAACUUAGAGCAGGAGUGCAGGAAGGCAUAUGUCCAAAACAGGGUUAAACAGUGGAGACACAGCCAUCAUCUUGGUGGGGAGAAGCAGGAAGGUCUUUGUUGAAGUGCUUGCAGAGUAAACAAAGGGAGGGUUUGGCAGGAGGUGGAAGUACAUCUGUGCACACAGUCCACUCCCACUGAGGGAUCAGCACCAGCUGGGAGAUUCUGGAGUUGUGUACUGCUCAGUCCAUGUCUGCCAGGUGAUCCUCAUCCCCUGUGCAUAAGGCAGCUGUUCUAUGCUACGACCACCCCUUUCAGAGAGGGACAAACCUGAGGUCUCAUUUGUAUAGAUCAGACUGUAGAAAACCUCUAAGACUGGCCCACUGUACCUUCUCUUGGUAUCAGUACAAGUGGACAAGCUUGUACUGUAUGGUGGCUUCAGAAGCCACCAUAGUGUGUGGUAGCCUCUGAAUUUAAUGAAAUGUGUUGUGUUCAUUGAUGAAAAAUGUCUUCUGCUGCUCAGGAGCUCAUCUGGAACUGCACUGGUCCUAUCCUGCACUGCUCUGGUCUCAUCCAUGACUGGUGCUGUGUUGGUCCCAUUGGUGCUGCACUGUUCUUGCUGAAGCCUGAAAUGGAGCUGUCUCUGGUAGAGCAGGGAUUAGGAAGAAGAGCAUUUUCUGAAGCAACCCCUUGAAGGGGAAUUUAGAGCUAGGGAUUUCAUAGCCCCAGUUGCAGCUGCACUAUUUAAAAUAUGGCCAGGCUGACACCUCUGUGACUUACUGCUGUGUUUCCUUGGAGAAAAGUUAUUCCUCUGCUUGCUCCCUUUUUUCCUCAGCAUCUCUCCAUAGGUUUUAAGGUACUAUUUAAUUAGCAUUUAAUAAUUACUUAUUUACUAUUAAAAUAAUUUUCAGUGUUAAAGGAAGCAAAUGAAAAUGCUUAACUCCCUGGAGUUGUCUUUGGGAUGGCCACAUGGCAGAUCCUCUGCACAUAACCACAGGCAGGACUGUGUUCUUGAUACAGCCGUUUGAUUCUCAAGACUCACUUGUUCCAGUGCAUUUCAAGGAAGGGAUGAGUCAAACCACUAAAGCUUAUGCAUCCUUGUCCUGUUAUGGACAGUCCACUGUAAGAAACCAGAUGGCUCACAAAAGCCAGUUGGUGACUCUCCUUGCUGCAGAGUUACAGGAAAACAGAUAGGGCACCAGCAAAGAAGCAAACCAUUAUAGCUUUCCUAAGAAAUGCCCAAAACCUGCCUCUUGGCCUAAUUUGGCUGAGAGAUUUCCCUGGGAAAUUCCAGGUCUGUGCAGCAAGGUACAAUGCAGUCACCCAUGCUUCACAAGCAACCUUGUGGCGAGCAUUGUUCUUCUUCAGGAAACAUGUUUGCUGGAGGAGCCAAAUGUGUUAGGUCCUCAAUUCCAAGCCAGUCUUAGUCCUCGGGUUACUGCAUCCUACCAAUCUCAGCUUUCUGCCAGGGACUGUAUUUUCACAUCUGAACUGCUGAGACUUCAUGUCUCCACAUGGGAGAUGAGAAGUAAGAACAAAGGUGGAACCAAAGCCAUCUUUCUUGGCUGACUCUCUAUGCUGGCACCAUCUUUUUCCUGCUGCAGCAGGUGACUUCUGUGCUGGUGACCUCAGUGUAGUUUGGUAUCCCCGGCCUGAAAUCAUUGAUCCAGUUUUCAGUCGGGCACUAGGACAGAGUGGGUGCUUACAUGGAGCUCAUCUCUUACUUUUUGCUGUAUCUGGAGCUCAGCUUGUGUUGUAAGUUGUUAGGUGUUUCCUUGGGUUGGUGUCUGCAUGUUUUGCAAUGUUCCUCAGAGCAGAAAUAGCUGAAAGGUUGUGAAGAGCCAAGGGCAUGGCCAAAGUGGCAAGGGACUGCAAGUAGCAUGCUGAAAGGUAGGCUGUGUCUUUCAACCCAGUUGUUCCCCAUGUCUGCCAUGCAGUGUUUACAUCUAUCCAACUUAUUUCCAGCUGCUCAAGCAAACAAAUUUUACUUCUGCUUUCCCAUAUGGUUACAUCAUUCAGUUUUUCUUUCCUGUAGUUUCCUGAACUGACCCAAACACUGCAGCCUUAUCCUCUCAACCUCCCCUUUCUGACUUCUUUAUCCACCUUCUUUUCUCUUUCUUAGUAUCUCUCCUUUCACUUUUAUUUUCUUAAACCUGUCUUGGGCUUUCUGCCUUUGAAAUCACAUGGUGCUGCUCUGAUCUGGUCUGUAUCCAAGUGAUAGAUGCCUUACACUUACCUUGACACAUUGUUCAGCCAGAACAAGGUAUCAUGAAAGUUAGAAGUGCACAUAUCCACAUACUCUUUCACUUCUUUCUUUCUUGUCCUAUUUUAUCUUCUCACAUUCUAAGACUGGAGAAAUUCCCUACAGAGCACUGUGCAAGGCUAUUCUCCCUGAAACUACUAUGUAAUCUAACCAGUACUGAAGUAAUUAGUACCAUCUUUAGAGCUCAAAGAUGAUGCCUUAUGUGAGGUCAUUUAUUACAAUCACUGUCCAGGCUGUUCCAGAGGAGACUCACCCCUGACUACCUCAGCAAAGUUGCUUUUGGCUUCUUUACACUGUGACUUUGUCUUGAUUAGGAAAAAUGUUCAUUUAGGUCAGUCUGGCUGACCUGAUUAGCAAAGCCUGCUCAAAAUGCAGUUAGCAUUUUUCCUAGAAUAGAUGAAAAACAUAAUGCUUUCAACUGAGCAAUUUGUGCCAGGAGUUCCCCUGCAACAGGAACGUCAGGGCUCCCUUGGGAGAAACCUGGCAGCUAAGGCUGGAGGAGUUCUACAACUUGUGCCUCACACCAGCUGUGUUAAACAGGAGGGAACUGGAUGCUACAUUGGUUGUGGACAUUCUUAUUGGAUUGUCAGCAUUCCUCCUGCAGGUGAGCUUUGUUAGAUCAAAGCCCAAACAACAUCCUCCAUGCUGGCUCCCCACCAUGGUGUCAUGGGGUCACUGGCAUCUCCUUUCAAUGGCAUGGCGCAUCUAGGGGGAGCAUUGCAGCUCAAGAAUAAUCCACCUCUGCUGUUCGAGGUGCAGGGGCUCUACCAUGAGAACUUGCUCUGGCUCUGCAAUAUUUGCGGCCCUCUCACUACUUGGAGGAGAGCUUUCCCCUCCAGAAGGGGAAAAAGGUAGAGGGAUACCAGGAUGAAGAAGAGGACUCAGUUCCAGAGCCUCAAGAGUUAACUGUUGCAUGUCAGAGCAGCUUGGUGUUAAAUGAGUCUGCUAAAUUCAUGACAGUUGAAGGAAGGAGCUGGGCAGGUGCUUUUGGCUAAGUUUACUGCUGUCCCGGGGAGAGGGACUGCAAGCCAGGCAGCUCAGGGAGGAGGAAACCAGCUCUGACAUUUGUAAAGACUGUUGAUGGAAGGUUUCUUUCAAAGACUUUUCAGUCUCUCAAUCUGAGAGCUCUUUGCCCAGGGAGUGCUGGAAAUGUGGCUCUUCUUUCCAAGCAAAUGUGGCAGACUCUCACAGUUGAUGAGGUGCUGUUGAGCCACAAAUACUGAAUUGCCAAUUGAAUGAUGUUGGGUUUGUUUUUAUUGUGUUUCUCUGUCUUUAUGGACAGCGCUGCAGUGAGGUUGUUGGGAAUGGGAGAACUGUAUUUUAGUCCUGGCUCUGCCAGUUUCUUAGUGUGUGAUCCUCAGGGUGUCUCUUGCAGUGAGGCAGCUUUUGCUCACUAUAAAAAAAGUGAACAUCCUUAUUCUUACUGAAAAGGAGCAGUGUCACCAAUGGGUGAAGCAGAUUAUCAAAAAUUAAGACUGGAGUGCGGUUUUGCUGGUAAGUAUCUGCCAGGAAAGGUCCAUAGGAGCUAUUACUUUGCUUCCCUGGUUGGACUCUUUUUCAAUGACUUUGCAGCUACACAUGAUAUUUGCCACAUUUUCAGUUUGGCUGAUCUGUUCUCCACUGAUAUCCCAGCUAUCCUUCACCCCUCUCCUGUUCCUUAUCCCUGUGGACUGCACGUGUCUCUAUCUGACCUCAGAUACUUCAAGCUAAUCCAGAGUAAUCUUUCUGUGUCAGUGUGAAUGACUGCGUUGGUCAGCAUCGGGAUUUAAACUGAAGUACUUUUGGCCCAUGCUGUUACUGACCUGACCAUUCUGGGCCUUACUGAAAACCAAUUUGUGCUUUAUAAAUCCAGUGAAUGGGCUGUACUCAUACCUCAUCCUCCACUGUGCAACCAGAUCCUGGCUCAGGCACAAAACAUAACUUCUCCAUCAGUUUGGUGCAACUUGCUGAGAGCACCCUGUUUUAUUUUUGCCCCAAACUGCUGCAUGGUCGGUGCUGGGCUGAGUUCUCAGGCUCCCAAACUAUUUCUCUGCUGGUUUGUAAAUGAGAAGGAGGUAACAAGCUCCUUCUUAUAAAAUACCAGAAUAUCAUGGCUUUAUCUGUCCCUAGCAUGAUAUUCAAGACCCAUGCCAGUCCCUCCUGCUGCUCAGCACAUGUUUUUGCACUUUCCCUUUCUUUGGAAGUGCUUUUUCUCCACAGUAACUCUGUCUGGCCUGUUGUAAAGCUAGGAUCACCAUCAUCCAUUUGGGAAGAGUGAUGCAGAGGUUGCUUUUCCAUCCUCUGAUCUUUCUCCCGCUCUUCAGGUUUUGUCAAAUAUAGUUGGCAGCGGUCCAGCAGCUGGAUUAGCAGUAAUUAAUGAGCAAAUGGACUGCAGCCCUUUUUCAGACCUGGCAAAGCACAUACCUUUCACUUUUUUCUUACAUGGUUUUCAGCUCUUUUUUAUCAUGCUGGGAGAGAGCGGAGUAGCAGCAGAUGCUGCUCUGGUCAAUACAGGGGAGUGAACAGAGGCUGCUGUGCUCAUUUCUUUGCUGCUAAUUAGUACUAGGGUGGUAGGCAGAGGCUGCUAGCUAGGACAGCAAAACUGUUUUCUCCCUCCCCUUGUAGCUGCAGCCACAGCAAGCAGUCAGUGGCAGCUGUAAGCAGCUGGGGUGAGCUGCAGCAGAGCAGGAGUAAUGCUGAUUUCUUAAUUUUCCUGCAUGCUUCAGGCUCCAGGCAAACAGCCCUUACAACCUCCUCCUUUGUGACCUGGAGCUGAAGUCCCAGGUGAGGUGAAGGCACACAUUGCUGUGUCAAGCCCAGCAGCCACACAGUGUGGUGAGGUCACGCAGCACCUUUGAUACCUACAAGUGCCAGAGACCCAUGUCCAGAGCAGUUGCCCAUCCCCUGGUCUCAGAUGCCUCUCUGAUAUUUGAUGAAAUUGAAUUACACAGAGUUGUCAGAGGAUUUAUUUACUUACUCUGGGAAAGAGUGAAGGACACCAGAAGGGAUGGAAAAUAGGGAAAGAAAGAGGGACAAAAAAGCAAAGAUGAGAGAGCUAUGCAGUUAGCAUUCCUGAGCCAUCUGGACCUGUUGGCAUGGCCCCAUCUGGAUAGGCUCACGUGUUCAUCCACAGCAUGAUGUAAUCUUCAUUGUCCAGCAUUUGAUUUUUCUCCUUGUGCUGGAUGGCCUCAUAUCUAGUGCAUGUCUGGAGCGGGCAUUUUGAUUUCCUGUUGCUAUUUGUGGACUUUUCCUGGCCGAUCCUCAAGCUCAGGCGGUUUGCAUUCCUCAAGCAGAAGCAGCAAUGCCACCCUGCCAGCAGGAGCGGAGGCCAGCUGCAGCCAGCCUGCCAGCCCGGGAGAGGCAGCCCUGCGCGUGGAACCAGCUGUGGUUUGCACCGUGCUGCAGCUGGAGAGAGAGUGACACCCCUGCCUGGUGCUUGGACCAUGGUGGCUGAGCUCUGGAGUCGGCUCAGCCUUCAACACCAGCACAGAGAGGGACCACUGUUCCCAGAUGCUCCUGGGCUUCCCUGCCCUGCUGGAUCUUGCAGCAGAAGGAGAGUUUUCCUUGACUCAAGACCUAUUCCUCCCUUCAGCAGAUCUGUGAUUUUCAUCCCAUGGUUGAAGUGACUGCCUGGUCUCUGACCAGUCGGAUAUCUAUCCUUAUCUUUGGAAAUGCAGGGCUUUUAUCCCUGGUUCACCAGCAUCACAUCUUCAUUCUACGCCAGGAUGGAGCUAAUUCAGGUUACCCCAGCAGUGACAAAUGCUUUUAGAGGCCUUACUGCUCUUUGUGCCCUGGAAAGGAUUUCCCUGUUCUUCAGAGACUCUGGUUUUUGCAGCUCCACUGCUGAGGUGAAAAUGGUACCCUCAGCAUUGGAGCUGAAGAUUAAUUUCCUAUCUGCUGCUUAGGGCACAGAUUUUCCACUGAGAUAUUGUCAGAAGGUCAGAAAUCUGCAUUCCAAGUUGAAUUGCUUCGAAAGCUGUCCUGGUGCAGAGCCCUGUUCAGUCUGCUUGCAAAACCCAACUUUUGCCCAGCCUGGCCACUGAAGAGAGUCCAAGCUCUUGCUCUCUCAAGAUUUUACGUGAAAAUCCUUCACAUCCUUGAGUCACAAAUCAGCUGGCGCAGAUUAGUUCUUUGUUAAGUGCCCUUUGAAAAGGCCCAAGGAAUGAAAGCCACCAGUAAUGUUUGGUAUUAGCUGCAUGCCUCAGCUUUUGGACAUGAACAGAGUACAGCUCUUCCUCUUUCAAGGCCUGUUUUUCUUUAUGGGUCUCCAGGGAUCUGCCAGGGGACAAACUGUGAAUUAUCUCUGAUUUUGCUCUGUGAGCUAAACAGUUUCAAUGAGACAAAUGAAGAUGAUUGUACUGACAAUUCAGAACUUUCCUCCUCUGGUUAUCUCCCAGAGCAGAUUUCCUCUAACUACCAGUGUGUCUUUCUUGUUGCUUUCUUGCAAGAUGCAGAAAAAAGGCCCAUAAUGGCAUGGGGCUCACAAGCUGUGUAAGAGCAAAGAUCUGCCAACUCUGGCAGCUUCAACUCCAUACUGGCCAGGGCCAGAAGCUUCCAAAAAAGAUAGAAGAAAUGGUGGAGUGGCAUUAUUCCAAUUUAUUUUGGUUAUUGAAUAAACAUUCCCAUCCCACUGACUGGUGAAUGGCUUGAGCAGCAGCACCUCUCUAAUUUAUUUCAAUUGUAUUGAACUUUCGUGUCUAUUGCAUUUCAUGUCUUUUGGUGAUAAUGUGAAAUGGUUUCACAUCAGCAUGGCAGUAUAGUUCACAAAGUCACACAGAAUAAACCAGUAUUUUAUUUCA